AUUGAACGCUGGCGGCAGGCCUAACACAUGCAAGUCGAACGGUAACAGAGAGCAGCUUGCUGCUUUGCUGACGAGUGGCGGACGGGUGAGUAAUGUCUGGGAAACUGCCUGAUGGAGGGGGAUAACUACUGGAAACGGUAGCUAAUACCGCAUAACGUCGCAAGACCAAAGAGGGGGACCUUCGGGCCUCUUGCCAUCGGAUGUGCCCAGAUGGGAUUAGCUAGUAGGUGGGGUAAAGGCUCACCUAGGCGACGAUCCCUAGCUGGUCUGAGAGGAUGACCAGCCACACUGGAACUGAGACACGGUCCAGACUCCUACGGGAGGCAGCAGUGGGGAAUAUUGCACAAUGGGCGCAAGCCUGAUGCAGCCAUGCCGCGUGUACGAAGAAGGCCUUCGGGUUGUAAAGUACUUUCAGCGGGGAGGAAGGGAGUAAAGUUAAUACCUUUGCUCAUUGACGUUACCCGCAGAAGAAGCACCGGCUAACUCCGUG
This 490-nucleotide ribosomal RNA is filed under the name uncultured bacterium. Its description in RNAcentral is "partial 16S ribosomal RNA". It matches the Rfam family "Bacterial small subunit ribosomal RNA", at positions 30 to 507 of the family's 1533-position model. The record is from RNAcentral.